Small nuclear RNA from Sorex araneus (European shrew), 104 nucleotides. The record is from Ensembl. NCBI's taxonomy places the organism in Eukaryota, Metazoa, Chordata, Mammalia, Eulipotyphla, Soricidae.
AUACUUAGGCAGCACAUAUACUAAAAUUGGAAUGAUACAGAGAAGAUUUGCAUGGCCCCUAUGCAAGUAUGACAUGCAAAUUCAUGUAUUCAUUCCACACAUAU